Molecule: non-coding RNA, 172 nt
Filed under: Paraburkholderia tuberum
Lineage: Bacteria; Pseudomonadati; Pseudomonadota; Betaproteobacteria; Burkholderiales; Burkholderiaceae
Source: RNAcentral
AUGACGGCGGCCGAAUGUGGGAAGGAAGCGUGGAGCGUAAGUCGCGAGCCGAUAAACAAGAACCGCAUAGAAGGCGUUGCCAAGCAGGGCGGGCGGGUAAUAGACUGCGAAGCUCUCGUGACCAGGGCGAAGCGGCGUAAAUGCGGCGGCUGUGCCAUGAAGGAGUGCGCUC